RNAcentral lists this ribosomal RNA (743 nucleotides) under uncultured Acetivibrio sp. Its description in RNAcentral is "bacterial SSU rRNA". It matches the Rfam family "Bacterial small subunit ribosomal RNA", at positions 28 to 772 of the family's 1533-position model. Lineage: Bacteria; Bacillati; Bacillota; Clostridia; Acetivibrionales; Acetivibrionaceae. The record is from RNAcentral.
GACGAACGCUGGCGGCAUGCCUAACACAUGCAAGUCGGACGGAGCAGGACUGAAGGUAGCGAUAUCGGAUGGCUUGCUUAGUGGCGAGCGGGUGAGUAACGCGUGAGCAACCUGCCUUGUACACCGGGAUAACAGAGGGAAACUUCUGCUAAUACGGGAUAACACCCUAAAAUGGCAUCAUUUCUAGGUCAAAGCGAUUAGCGGUACGAGAUGGGCUCGCGUCCCAUUAGCUAGUUGGUGAGAUAACAGCUCACCAAGGCGACGAUGGGUAGCCGACUUGAGAGAGUGAUCGGCCACACUGGAACUGAGACACGGUCCAGACUCCUACGGGAGGCAGCAGUGGGGAAUAUUGGGCAAUGGAGGCAACUCUUACCCAGCAAUGCCGCGUGAAUGAAGAAGGUCUUCGGAUUGUAAAGUUCUUUUAUUGGCGACGAAACAAAUGACGGUAGCCAAUGAAUAAGCCCCGGCUAACUACGUGCCAGCAGCCGCGGUAAUACGUAGGGGGCAGGCGUUGUCCGGAAUGACUGGGCGUAAAGGGUGUGUAGGCGGUUUGUCAAGUUGAAAGUGCAAUCCCCGGGCUUAACUCGGGAACUGCUUUCAAAACUGAUAGACUUGAGUGCAGUAGAGAAAGGCGGAAUUCCUAGUGUAGCGGUGGAAUGCGUAGAUAUUAGGAGGAACACCAGCGGCGAAGGCGGCUUUUUGGACUGCAACUGACGCUGAGGCACGAAAGUGUGGGGAGCAAA